This 149-nucleotide ribosomal RNA is filed under the name Hypoxylon lienhwacheense. RNAcentral describes it as "partial 28S ribosomal RNA". The record is from RNAcentral. Lineage: Eukaryota; Fungi; Ascomycota; Sordariomycetes; Xylariales; Hypoxylaceae.
GGCGGAGUCGCGGCGUGCUCUGAGCGUAGUAGAUGUCUUCUCGCUUUGGUAGCGCCCGCGGCAGCUAGCCGUUAACACACGAUAGGGGCUUACCCCCCUAUCUCUUAGUGGUUGACCUCGGAUUAGGUAGGAAUACCCGCUGAACUUAA